UACGAAGGGGGCUAGCGUUGUUCGGAAUUACUGGGCGUAAAGCGCGCGCAGGCGGUUUUCCAAGUCAGUGGUGAAAGCCCGGAGCUCAACUCCGGAACUGCCAUUGAAACUGGCGAACUUGAGUACGAGAGAGGUGAGUGGAAUUCCCAGUGUAGAGGUGAAAUUCGUAGAUAUUAGGAAGAACACCGGUGGCGAAGGCGGCUAUCUGGCUCGGUACUGACGCUCAGGCGCGAAAGCGUGGGGAGCAAAAGGG
Molecule: ribosomal RNA, 253 nt
Filed under: uncultured bacterium
Lineage: Bacteria
Description: partial 16S ribosomal RNA
Rfam family: Bacterial small subunit ribosomal RNA
Source: RNAcentral